This 90-nucleotide transfer RNA is filed under the name Aquabacterium sp. NJ1. RNAcentral's name for it is "tRNA-Ser". It matches the Rfam family "tRNA". Rfam says of the family: Transfer RNA (tRNA) molecules are approximately 80 nucleotides in length. Their secondary structure includes four short double-helical elements and three loops (D, anti-codon, and T loops). Further hydrogen bonds mediate the characteristic L-shaped molecular structure. tRNAs have two regions of fundamental functional importance: the anti-codon, which is responsible for specific mRNA codon recognition, and the 3' end, to which the tRNAs corresponding amino acid is attached (by aminoacyl-tRNA synthetases). tRNAs cope with the degeneracy of the genetic code in two manners: having more than one tRNA (with a specific anti-codon) for a particular amino acid; and 'wobble' base-pairing, i.e. permitting non-standard base-pairing at the 3rd anti-codon position. Lineage: Bacteria; Pseudomonadati; Pseudomonadota; Betaproteobacteria; Burkholderiales; Sphaerotilaceae. RNAcentral also lists the same sequence under 1 other name. The record is from RNAcentral.
GGGUGUGUGGCCGAGCGGUUUAAGGCACCGGUCUUGAAAACCGGCGAGGGUUUAUCCCCUCCGUGAGUUCGAAUCUCACCGCACCCGCCA